CCUACGGGUGGCAGCAGUGGGGAAUAUUGCGCAAUGGGCGAAAGCCUGACGCAGCGACGCCGCGUGAGGGAUGAAGGUCUUCGGAUCGUAAACCUCUGUCAGCAGGGAAGAACGGUCACUGUGCUAAUCAGCAGUGAAUUGACGGUACCUGCAAAGGAAGCACCGGCUAACUCCGUGCCAGCAGCCGCGGGAAUACGGAGGGUGCGAGCGUUAAUCGGAAUUACUGGGCGUAAAGCGCUCGUAGGCGGUAUGUCAAGUCAAGGGUGAAAUCCCCGCGCUCAACGUGGGAACUGCCUUUGAAACUGGCAAACUGGAGUGUGUGAGAGGAGAGUGGAAUUCCAGGUGUAGGAGUGAAAUCCGUAGAUAUCGGGAGGAACAUCAGUGGCGAAGGCGACUAUCUGGAACAUAACUGACGCUGAGGAGCGAAAGCGUGGGUAGCAAACAGGAUUAGAUACCCUAGUAGUC
RNAcentral lists this ribosomal RNA (465 nucleotides) under uncultured bacterium. RNAcentral's name for it is "partial 16S ribosomal RNA". It matches the Rfam family "Bacterial small subunit ribosomal RNA", at positions 338 to 795 of the family's 1533-position model. The record is from RNAcentral.